Long non-coding RNA from Homo sapiens (human), 728 nucleotides. Ensembl annotates it as DLGAP1 antisense RNA 2. Its record names the gene DLGAP1-AS2. Lineage: Eukaryota; Metazoa; Chordata; Mammalia; Primates; Hominidae. The record is from Ensembl.
GUUCGUGAACUAGUGAUUGUGAAUUCCAAAUUUGAUGCCAACUUUAUGUGUAAAGAAGCUAACUCCUGCCAACAUCGUGGCUGAAUGAACAGCUGGGACUAUGCUUAACCCAUUCCCAGCUUAUAAAAGCCCCAUGGCAGCUGCAGUGAAGCAUCAGAAAAGUAUAGUAAGAAGAAACUGAAUUUGAAGUGGAUUCUUACAAAGGAAAAAGAAAAUCACUAUUGUAACUAUACCAAAUUACUAUGGAUGCUGGAACUGUGGCUGCCAUCGGGGGACCACAGAAAGUACUGGCCUAAGAAGACCAGCUCAGCUGGGCGUGGUGGCCUGUAAUCCCAGCAUUUUGGGAGGAUGCGGGCAGAUCAUGUGAAGUCGGGAGUUCAAGACCAGCCUGACCAACAUGGAGAAGCCCUGUCUCUACUAAAAAUACAAAAUUAGCCGGGUGUGGUGGCGCAUGCCUGUAAUUCUAGCUACUGGGGAGGCUGAGGCAGGAGAAUUGCCUGAAUCCGAGAGGUGGAGGUUACAGUGAGCGGAGAGGGCGCCACUGCACUCCCGUCUGGGCCAAUGAGAGUGAAACUCCAUCUCAAAAAAAAAAAAAGAUGAGCUCACACUGGGGAUGACGGGUGGAAGAAAGGCCAGCUGUAAUGAACUUGCUGGUUUUGGUAAAUUCAUUGCCUUACCCUUGGACCUGGUAUUGUUUGAGAAAAUAAAUUAUUUUGCCAUCUUAGUCA